RNAcentral lists this non-coding RNA (142 nucleotides) under Pteridomonas danica. The record is from RNAcentral. Lineage: Eukaryota; Dictyochophyceae; Pedinellales.
CACACACACACAAACAACAGAUAAAUAAAAAACAAAAAGUGACAAAAAGAAGCAAGGUCCCUAGUUGCCUGUCUUUUCGCUUUGCCCAUCAAUCAUCAAUUGGUUUUGUAUCCUGUCUUAAAUAUUUGAGGGUGUUCAGAAU